UACGACUACAUAUCAGGCAUAUCAAUAAGCGGAGGAAAAGAAACUAACAAGGAUUCCCUUAGUAACGGCGAGUGAAGCGGGAAGAGCUCAAAUUUGAAAUCUUCAAGGUUCUACCUUGACGAAUUGUAGUUUAAAGAAGUGUUUUCUGUUAGAUGAGUAGCAAAGGUUUCUUGGAAUGGGACAUCAUAGAGGGUGAGAAUCCCGUAUUUGGUUAUUCAUUCUAGCUUUGUGAUACACUUUCAAAGAGUCGGAUUGUUUGGGAAUGCAGUCCAAAAUGGGUGGUAAAUUUCAUCUAAAGCUAAAUAUUGGCGAGAGACCGAUAGCGAACAAGUACCGUGAGGGAAAGAUGAAAAGAACUUUGAAAAGAGAGUUAAACAGUAUGUGAAAUUGUCAAAAGGGAAGCGUUUGACACCAGUGUUGUUUUUCCGAAAAUCAAUUACGAAUGGCUUGAUUUUGUGUUGUAUUGACCUUAUCAGCUUUCUUCACUUUUUUCGAGUCUUUCUUAAUGCACUUUUCGGUUAACAAGUCAACAUCAAUUUCUUUUGUUGUAAAAGAGUAAGUCGGAAGGUGGCUUUCUUUUCGGAGAAAGUGUUUAUAGCCCUAUACUUCUACAAUCGGAGAGAUUGAGGUCUGCAGCGUAGAUCCUUCGGGGUUAGAUACAUUUGUGCUAAGUUGUAGCUUUUCAUAGACAACUUGUUGACUAUGUUUAGUCAUGCGGCUUACUCGCUUGUGCUAUUUUACCUACGCUUAGGAUGUUGAGUAGCGACAUACGCAC
Molecule: ribosomal RNA, 775 nt
Filed under: uncultured Neocallimastigales
Lineage: Eukaryota; Fungi; Neocallimastigomycota; Neocallimastigomycetes; Neocallimastigales
Description: partial large subunit ribosomal RNA
Rfam family: Eukaryotic large subunit ribosomal RNA
Source: RNAcentral